This 235-nucleotide ribosomal RNA is filed under the name uncultured bacterium. RNAcentral describes it as "partial 16S ribosomal RNA". It matches the Rfam family "Bacterial small subunit ribosomal RNA", at positions 118 to 353 of the family's 1533-position model. The record is from RNAcentral.
UGAGCAAUCUGCCCUUCUCAUCGGAAUAAGCGUUGGAAACGACGUCUAAUGCCGAAUACGACCUCCUUUCGCAUGAUCGGAGGUGGAAAGCUCCGGCGGAGAAGGAUGGGCUCGCGGCCUAUCAGCUAGUUGGUGUGGGUAAUGGCCCACCAAGGCGACGACGGGUAGCCGGCCUGAGAGGGUGACCGGCCACACUGGGGCUGAGACACGGCCCAGACUCCUACGGGAGGNAGCG